GGCUCCAACGUUCCCCUCCUGCUUUUUGGUACACUGUACUUCCAGCAGCUUUGUCAUGCCUUCUGCUAACUUUUGGCACACAGUGCUCCUUAAUAGAACAAACUGCUCCUUUGGAAUGGUGCCAAAAAUCCCAGCUGCGCCUCAUCCAGCUGCCAAAAUCUUCACUCCCUGCUGACAAUGGCAAUGAACAUACUUCAGUACACAACUGUGAAAAUUUUUAAAAUGGAAUAAUAUCCAUUUGUAGUUACUAUCAGAAUAUCUUAAGAAGUAAUAAUGCAGUGACUAGAUUAUCAUUCCAAUGAUUUGCAUGAACCCCCUUUUUAAUAUAUAAUUGCUGUGACUCUGCUGUCACAGAAUUUCCAGAGCCGUAGUGCUGCAGAAUUUAGGACCAUGUAUAGCUGCUUCUUGGAUCAGCUUUCCAACCUGAAAGGAAAUGGAGACACAUUUUACAGGCAAUGUAGUCAUAYGCUUCACUUUAACAGCCAGUGCUGGACAUCACUGGAACAGUGUUUUAAAUAAUCCAGCAAGUUCUUUGGUCCAAACAGAUUCACGUCAGCUGUGGACAGCUUUCCAGGUUGCUUCCUAGAACUGUAGAGGCGACAACGCUGGGCACAAAGAGAGGGAUUUGUGUCUUCAUCCCACGGUAUCUAAGG
Long non-coding RNA from Nothoprocta perdicaria, 653 nucleotides. RefSeq lists it as uncharacterized. Lineage: Eukaryota; Metazoa; Chordata; Aves; Tinamiformes; Tinamidae. The record is from RefSeq and is a predicted model, not a curated record. The transcript is spliced from 3 exons.